AUUGAACGCUGGCGGUAUGCUUAACACAUGCAAGUCGAACGGUAGCAUGACUUAGCUUGCUAAGUUGAUGACGAGUGGCGAACGGGUGAGUAACGCGUAGGAAUAUGCCUUAAAGUGGGGGACAACUUGGGGAAACUCAAGCUAAUACCGCAUAAUUUCUUAGGAAAAAAGCUGGGGACCUUCGGGCCUGGCGCUUUAAGUUUAGCCUGCGUACGAUUAGCGAGUUGGUAGGGUAAAGGCCUACCAAGGCGACGAUCGUUAGCUGGUCUGAGAGGAUGACCAGCAACACUGGAACUGAGACACGGUCCAGCCGCCUCCGGUAGGCAGCAGUGGGAGAUAGUGGACAAUGGGUGCAUCCCUGAUCCAGCAAUACCGCGUGUGUGAAGAAGGCCUGAGGGUUGUAAAGCACUUUCAGUGGGGAGGAGAGUAUUUAGGUUAAGAGCUAGAAUACUGGACGUUACCCACAGAAGAAGCACCGGCUAACUCCGUGCCAGCAGCCGCCGUAA
Molecule: ribosomal RNA, 506 nt
Filed under: uncultured bacterium
Lineage: Bacteria
Description: partial 16S ribosomal RNA
Rfam family: Bacterial small subunit ribosomal RNA
Source: RNAcentral